Molecule: long non-coding RNA, 503 nt
Filed under: Spirodela polyrhiza (greater duckweed)
Lineage: Eukaryota; Viridiplantae; Streptophyta; Magnoliopsida; Alismatales; Araceae
Description: long non-coding RNA (SPOL_LNC000169)
Source: RNAcentral
AUCGACAGACUCUCACUCCCACCUCUCCUUUAUAUCCACCUCCUCGCCCGGUCCUGCGUCCUUUGGGAAGAGAGAGAGAAGAGGAAGGAAGACCCAUCCGUCCCCUGCCUCCCUCCUCCCUUCCCUACCGCCGAUUCCGCCGCCGCCCUCCUCCACCUCUUCCUCCGCCGCCACCGCCGCCACCGCCACCGCCUCCGCGACCGCCUCCUGGUCCUCUACCCCUCCGGCGGAUCUCGCCGCCCACUGCUCAUUGCCAGGAAGGAAGAGGGCCGCGUCCCCGUUCGCAGGAACAGGAGGCGGGCGGCGAUGGGUUUCCCGCCGGACACGAGCAAGACGGUCAAGAUGGAAAGGUACAACAGCUAUCUCCGGCGGGUCAACAGCACCAAGCUGCUGGCAGCAUCGUCGAAGCUCAUCUUCCGCAGCACCCUCCUCGCGGCCCUCAUCCUCGUCCUCUUCCUCACCAUCAACUACCCCCCGCUGUCCUCCUCCCACUCCUCCUCCGC